ACGUACACUCCUGCGGGAGGCAGCAGUGGGGAAUAUUGCACAAUGGGCGCAAGCCUGAUGCAGCCAUGCCGCGUGUAUGAAGAAGGCCUUCGGGUUGUAAAGUACUUUCAGCGGGGAGGAAGGCGAUAAGGUUAAUAACCUUGUCGAUUGACGUUACCCGCAGAAGAAGCACCGGCUAACUCCGUGCCAGCAGCCGCGGUAAUACGGAGGGUGCAAGCGUUAAUCGGAAUUACUGGGCGUAAAGCGCACGCAGGCGGUCUGUCAAGUCGGAUGUGAAAUCCCCGGGCUCAACCUGGGAACUGCAUUCGAAACUGGCAGGCUAGAGUCUUGUAGAGGGGGGUAGAAUUCCAGGUGUAGCGGUGAAAUGCGUAGAGAUCUGGAGGAAUACCGGUGGCGAAGGCGGCCCCCUGGACAAAGACUGACGCUCAGGUGCGAAAGCGUGGGGAGCAAACAGGAUUAGAAACCCCGGUAGUCCCAU
This 478-nucleotide ribosomal RNA is filed under the name uncultured organism. RNAcentral's name for it is "partial 16S ribosomal RNA". It matches the Rfam family "Bacterial small subunit ribosomal RNA", at positions 329 to 798 of the family's 1533-position model. The record is from RNAcentral.